RNA transcript from Pungitius pungitius (ninespine stickleback), 3437 nucleotides. It is a transcript of the gene named cugbp, Elav-like family member 3b, with no coding region annotated. The record is from RefSeq and is a predicted model, not a curated record. NCBI's taxonomy places the organism in Eukaryota, Metazoa, Chordata, Actinopteri, Perciformes, Gasterosteidae. The transcript is spliced from 16 exons.
CUUUAUUGACCCGCCCUGGGAGUUACGUCACACGCCUGCCAACGCUUCUGCGAGAGAAGGGGGAGGGAGAGAGAAAGAGAGUCAAAGAGACACCGGCAUUGGACGUGAAAAGCCAUCCCGCCGUUGAACGGUUGAGACGCACCAGGAACAUAGAAGAUAGAAAAGAAAGUAAGAAAGUAGGACUCACCUCAAUCUACGGUUAGAACAACAAGGGCAAGACUGAAGUAUACUGUGUGAUGUGACCCGCGUUUUAAGUGGUAUCACUGUUAUCAAAGAGGAAUUAAGAGUGAGCUCUGGGGGAAGUUAUAACUGCGUUAGAUCGCGAGCUGGGUUUUAGUGGUCGAGGGUGAUAUUUCAGUGGGACCGGUGACGAGCUGUGGUUUUAGUCUCACCUGCGAGGACUCUUAACGUUACUCAUCCAACUUCACACCUCUAGACCCGGGGAACACCGGUGGAGGGGGGGAGGAAGCGCGUAAAAACAUAUCCGAGCCUCUAGUAGCCGUACACGGAAGAGGAGGAGGAGGAGAAGGAGGAGGAGGAGAGUCCGGCUGGCACAAAGAGCGGAGAGCAUCCAGAGAGCGAGUGAGGGGAGGAAGGAGGACGGGACUGAGAGAGGGAGAGAGAUAUAUAUAGAGAGAGAGAGAGCGGCCAGGACAACAACGGGGACCCGACGGAGAGCAUCCCGCUUCAGACGACCCUCUGCCCGCAAGCAUCAUCCCAACAAACAACGAGAUCCCGAACGCCGCUUCUCCACCAAAAGGCACACUUGCUCCUGAUCUGUUUACCCCCUACCCCCUGCAAUACCCAGUCCUCCUCUCCGCUCCGUCCCGAUGAAGGAGGCCGACGCCAUCAAGCUGUUUGUGGGGCAGAUUCCCCGGAAUCUGGAAGAGAAGGAUCUCAAGCCUAUCUUUGAGCAGUUUGGCAAGAUCUAUGAGCUAACUGUGAUUAAGGACAAAUACACAGGCAUGCACAAAGGAUGUGCGUUUCUGACGUACUGUGCGAGAGAGUCGGCGCUGAAAGCCCAGAGCGCCCUGCACGAGCAGAAAACGCUACCGGGGAUGAAUCGGCCAAUCCAGGUGAAACCAGCUGACAGCGAGGGAAGAGGAGGUCUCUCAGAGGACAGGAAGUUGUUUGUUGGCAUGCUGGGAAAGCAGCAGAGCGAUGAGGAUGUCAGAAGACUGUUUGAGCCCUUUGGCAGCAUAGACGAGUGCACUGUGCUCAGAGGACCUGACGGCACCAGCAAAGGGUGCGCUUUUGUUAAAUUCCAAGGUCACGCUGAAGCCCAGGCUGCCAUCAACAGCUUGCACGGAAGCCGCACAAUGCCCGGAGCGUCGUCCAGUCUGGUGGUGAAGUUUGCCGACACAGAGAAGGAGCGGGGGCUGAGGAGGAUGCAGCAGGUGGCCUCCCAGCUCGGCAUCUUCAGCCCCAUGACCCUCAACUUCCCCGCCUACAAUGCCUACACACAGGCGGUCAACGCACAGCUUGUCCAACAGCAGGCCCUGGUUGCCCAGUCAGCGUACUUGUCUCCUGUGGCAACAGUUGCCGCCGUACAGAUGCAGCAGAUGGCGGCGCUCAAUGCCAACGGAAUCAUCGCCACACCCAUUACACCCAUCACGCCGUCCUCGGGUACAAACACUCCACCAACUAUGGCGGCAACGCCUGUGCCAUCUCUCCCUCCACCAUUAGGAGUGAACGGCUACAGCAGUCUGACAGCCCCCACCAACGGACAACAGGCAACAGAAGCACUAUACACCAAUGGCAUUCACGCAUAUCAAGCUCAGAGUCCAGCAGCUGCCCUGGACCCCCUACAGCAGGCGUAUGCAGGCAUGCAACACUACACAGGUUGGUCGGCGUAUCCUGCUGCCUACGGAUUGGUCGGGCAGCCGUUCCCCCAGCAGCCAACACUGGUUGCCCAGCAACACCAGCAGCCCCAGCAACAGCAGCAGAGAGAAGGUCCAGAGGGCUGUAACAUCUUCAUCUACCACCUGCCUCAGGAGUUCAGUGACUCUGAGAUGCUGCAGAUGUUCCUGCCCUUUGGCAAUGUCAUCUCGGCUAAGGUGUUUGUUGACCGUGCCACCAACCAGAGCAAAUGCUUCGGAUUUGUGAGUUUUGAUAACCCAGCCAGUGCUCAGGCCGCCAUUCAGGCCAUGAAUGGCUUCCAGAUUGGCAUGAAAAGACUGAAAGUGCAGCUGAAAAGGCCCAAAGAUGCCAACCGCCCAUACUGAGUGACAACUGAUUGGAUGAAGAAGACAUAAAGAGAGAUCCUACCGUCCAAUCAUAAUUCACGAGGACCCCAUCGCUAUGGCAAUGGUUGCCUAAUGACCGAUAAAGCCCUGACCCCCCCUUCCUCUCGCAUUGUUGUGACCUUUCAGAGUCCAGCCGAGGUGGAGUCCCGGGGUUCACAGCGCUUUCAGACUGCCCGCUGCCUUUGAGCGUCCGGGGAGUGCUGCCAAACACACGGACACACACUCACAUGAACACACAUGCGCUCGUAAACACUGAACCUCGAAUGGUGCAAGGCUGAUAUACAAAUGUACAUAAAGUGCACAAGUACACACACACACACACUCGCACACACACACACCUCUGCAGACACCCAGAAAAUACACACGGUUCACACCGGUCAGUAAUCGUACCCAUACAACCAAAAGUUUGGUUUGUCUGUGUGGAGUUUGACAACAGGGUGUUUAGUACAGUUAAGACGACUCAGACAGAGCAUGUAUGGAAGAUACUGAUGAAAAAUGAUGAUAUAUCACGUCUAUAGACUUUAACAUGUCUAUUCCAUGACAAAUAUAGAGGGGCCGAUGUUUCAUAAUAAAAAAAAGAAAGAAAAUACAAAAAAAAGAUGAAUUAAUUCGUAGGUUAGAGAGAGACUUUGGAGAAAAUCCUAAUGACUUGUAAAUAAUUUAGUUUACAAAGAACAGCAUUUAAAAAAAACAAGAAAAAAAUGCAAAAAGAAUACUACUUUAGAUAAACACUGAACAGGACACAGCAACAUUAUUAUUAUUAAUGUUAUUAUUAUUAUAUUAUUAUUAUUCUUAUUACCACUAGUGAAAUCAUCAUCCUCAUAAAGGGAUAUUACAUUCCAAAUUGUAAAAUGGGAAAUCACUAACCUAUUUUAAAUUUCUACUUAGAUUUUAGGUAAAACUCUGGGGGGGGGGAUUGCACUUUUAUUCGGGAGGUUUUAAUAUUUGAGCUAUUUUUUAUUUAUUUACUAAUUUAUCAAUUAUUUUGUUUAUUGGGGGAAGGGGUUGCAAUAUUUUGAUUUUAGAAUUUUCUAGAGAAAAACUUUUGAGGGCCUGUUUCUGUCAGACUCUUGCAAUCGAGUAAUUAUAAUGUAUGUAUUAAUUAUUACAGCAAUUAUAUUUAUUUCUAAUUUAUUGAAUCCUGUUUUUGAUCCACUCUCUUUUUAAGUUAAAAUAAAAAGUAUCAUACUA